CUACCCUUGACAUACUGGAAAGCCCACCUAAUAGUGGGUGUGCCUUCGGGAAUCCAGAUACAGGUGCUGCGUGGCUGUCGUCAGCUCGUGUCGUGAGAUGUUGGGUUAAGUCCCGUAACGAGCGCAACCCUUGUUCUUAGUUACCAGCGCGUCAUGGCGGGAACUCUAAGAAGACUGCCGGUGAUAAACCGGAGGAAGGUGGGGAUGACGUCAAGUCAUCAUGGCCCUUAUGGGUAGGGCUACACACGUGCUACAAUGGGGCGUACAGAGGGUUGCCAAGUCGUGAGACGGAGCUAAUCCCACAAAGCGCCUCGUAGUCCAGAUCGAAGUCUGCAACUCGACCUCAUGAAGUCGGAAUCGCUAGUAAUCGCAGAUCAGAAUGCUGCGGUGAAUACGUUCCC
RNAcentral lists this ribosomal RNA (401 nucleotides) under uncultured bacterium. RNAcentral's name for it is "bacterial SSU rRNA". It matches the Rfam family "Bacterial small subunit ribosomal RNA", at positions 975 to 1375 of the family's 1533-position model. The record is from RNAcentral.